Poecilia latipinna (sailfin molly) is the source of this 150-nucleotide long non-coding RNA. RefSeq lists it as uncharacterized. The record is from RefSeq and is a predicted model, not a curated record. The transcript has 3 exons. NCBI's taxonomy places the organism in Eukaryota, Metazoa, Chordata, Actinopteri, Cyprinodontiformes, Poeciliidae.
AUUUCAGCAGAUGGUGUUAUCGCAGCUGGGGAGAAACAUGAUCCAAUCACAGAGGGAUCAGCUUCUGUGACUCAUCGUAACAUAAACACAGAAGGCUUUAACUGAGCCCUGACGUUCACAAACCAUAAAAGGGCACAGAAACCUUAAAGG